Liolophura sinensis is the source of this 702-nucleotide long non-coding RNA. RefSeq lists it as uncharacterized. The transcript is spliced from 3 exons. Lineage: Eukaryota; Metazoa; Mollusca; Polyplacophora; Chitonida; Chitonidae. The record is from RefSeq and is a predicted model, not a curated record.
UCCGGAGUUUCUUUUCACACAUGACCUACAUAGCUCACAGAUCUAACUGCGUCGUACUUGAUGCGUGAAAGUAGGUUUCACACCUUCAGUUGUUUCCACUCUUUUAAUUUGCACAGCGUACAUAGUAUUUUAAAGAAGAACUGGAACAACCACUGGCUCACAUAAAACAGUCAUAUAUUGUGUUUUCUCCUGUUUAAUAUCUGUGUGUGAACAUCAGAGCUGCUAAUACAGGAUCUGGGAUAAGUCCAUCCGUUUGAGACCAAGGAUCACCAUGUGGAGGAAUAUUAUUCAGCCAAUGCUCUUUGUCAUUGUCGCCACUUUUGUAAAUGGUGAUGACUCUACCGUGUAUAUACAACAAUUUGAGGGCGUCGUCUCUGCCACAGACGCAGACGCUGUGGUCUCAUUGCCCUGUAACUACACCGCCGCAGUAAAGAUCUGCCCGGUCAUACACUGGUACCGGGAGGAGGGAGAUUCAAAGACACUAAAAGCGAAGAUAGACAAAACCAACGAGCUGGUGUCGUACGGAGAUUUCUCAGGAAGAGUUGGGCGUGGUGAAAAGGGCGCUCUGAUGAUUAUCAGACCAACUGUCAACGAUUCGGGUCACUAUAUCUGUUACGUGGAUAUCAGCGACAUUCACUUGAUGUACGCGACAGGUCCCGUGAUACUGAAUGUCACCCAGAGUUUCAGUGAUCCUCCAUACAA